Molecule: non-coding RNA, 104 nt
Filed under: Odoribacter splanchnicus
Lineage: Bacteria; Pseudomonadati; Bacteroidota; Bacteroidia; Bacteroidales; Odoribacteraceae
Also listed under: 1 other name
Description: Odoribacter sp. SAM-I sequence
Rfam family: SAM riboswitch aptamer (S box leader)
About the family: The SAM riboswitch is found upstream of a number of genes which code for proteins involved in methionine or cysteine biosynthesis in Gram-positive bacteria.
Source: RNAcentral
GAAUUAUAAAGAGGAGUUGAGAGACGGGCUCUAUGAAACUCCGACAACCUCAGAACUUUCUGAAAGGUGCCAAAACCCGUCCUGAAAAUCAGGAAUUAUAAUUU